GGAUUAGAAACCCCGGUAGUCCACGCUGUAAACGAUGAGUGCUAGGUGUUGGGGGUAUCAUGCCCUCGGUGCCGAAGUUAACACAUUAAGCACUCCGCCUGGGGAGUACGGUCGCAAGACUGAAACUCAAAGGAAUUGACGGGGACCCGCACAAGCAGUGGAGUAUGUGGUUUAAUUCGAAGCAACGCGAAGAACCUUACCAGGUCUUGACAUCCCUCUGAAUACGUUAGAGAUAGCGUAGGCCUUCGGGACAGAGGAGACAGGUGGUGCAUGGUUGUCGUCAGCUCGUGUCGUGAGAUGUUGGGUUAAGUCCCGCAACGAGCGCAACCCUUGAACUUAGUUGCCAGCACGUGAAGGUGGGCACUCUAGGUUGACUGCCGGUGACAAACCGGAG
RNAcentral lists this ribosomal RNA (394 nucleotides) under uncultured bacterium. Its description in RNAcentral is "bacterial SSU rRNA". It matches the Rfam family "Bacterial small subunit ribosomal RNA", at positions 775 to 1168 of the family's 1533-position model. The record is from RNAcentral.